CUUUUUGUGGCUUUAUUUUACAACCACCAGGACCUCCACCCUGACUAAUAUACGUGUCAACAUUCAUUGCCUUUGAUGCUGCCUCAGGUGACCUCUCACACGUUGUGGGAUCAGGAGCUUUGAGGAGUGCAUGACUUCACUGCCUGCUGGAGGAACGAGGGGCAGGAGGUGAACCUGUGGCCAUGCUGUGUGGAUGGCUGAAGCUGUCCCAUGUUUUGUGAGGUGCUGCACUGAGCUGCUUCUGCCUUACACCAGCAUUACGACCAAAGCAGUAAAAUUCCUCAUUGUAGUGGUUCACUACGGGUUGGAAGGGAACCUGUUGGCAAAUGCAUUGGGCUGAAUGUUUCUUGUGACUGGAUUCUCAUCCUGCCAUGGAGCACGGUUGCCUAAUUACAGCAUGUCGUCAUUAGAGGUGUGUUAGAUGAACCUCUACAAGUGGAGUACAGGAAAGGCCAGGAAGACUUACUGCCUUUCUUAGUAGGGAUAUCUUACUUCCCACUUUUCUAUGAGUCAUUCCAAAGCAACAAAGGACAUCUUGUGGUCAGGGUCUACUACAGGCCAUGUGUUCAGGUGAGCCUGUAGAUGAGACCUUCUUGUUUUGGUUGGAGGAAUUGUCACAAUGGCACAUUCUCAUCUUGAUGGGGGAUUUCAAGCACCUAGAUGUUCUACGAGAAAGCAACACAGUGAGCUGCAAGCAAUCCUGGAGACUCCUGUGCUGAAGAUAGCCUGCUGGUGCAGGUAUUAGACAAACUGACCAGAGGAGUAAUGUUCCUGGACCUGUUCCCCACCAGCUCAGAGGAUCUCAUUAAAGAGGUUAAGAUUGGAGGCACUCUGGGCUGCAGCAACCAUGCUCAGGUGGAGUUUGUGAUCUUGAGGAUCACAAGGAUCCAGUUUGUUCAAGGAUUUGCUGCCUGUGAUCCCCUGUGAAGCUGUCCUGACAGACAAAGGAGUGUAGCAGAACUGGCAGCCCUUUAAGGAUGCCUUUCUGACAGCACGAGAGCAAACUGAGGGAUAAGAAGGACUUAUACAGGGAGUGGAAGCUGAGAUGUGUGGCCAAUGAUGUGGGAGAAUAAAGAAAUGCUGUCUGGGCAUGCAGAGAUGGGAAAGCAUGUUGGGUCUCCCUGCCCUCAUGGAAAUUCUCAAUGAAAACAAACAACUUGCAGAAAGAAAGGAAAAUCACGGUGGGGAAGAUAUGGGAAAAUAGAAGGAGACCGGGACAUCAGAUCUGAGUAUUGAUAGAGAACCCAGUGAUGACAUCGUGUGCUCCAGUGAUCCAGUCCAUGGUCAGUCCCAUCCAUCUUCCAAUACACCAAACGUAUUUGAAUGCUCUGGGAUGAUCUCACGCUGCCUCAAAGAGGAGACUUGAAGAAGUAGGAUCAGAAAAAGUUCAGAAAAGGGCAAAAAGGAGGAUUGGCUGUCUGAGAUGGAUUUGGAAUAUGCAGGCUAAGGCUUGUUGGCUUGAAAAUACAUGGUCUAAGUGAGUAUUCACUUGAGGUCUCCAGAUUUGUGACCGGAGGGAGGGUGUGGAAGGGGCUUGAGUAUCCACUGCCUCUUCCCAUCAGUACAGAAAGCAAGGGGCAGCAGAUGAAGCUGCUGAUGGUCAGGAUUAAAUCUAAAGAAAUCAUCCAUCACCCACAGAUAUCGUUGCUGAAGAGUUCUGAGCCUGGACAAGCACUUGGCAAAGAGAUCUGCUGUGAGUUACUCCAUAGAUGGCACCAGGCUCAGGAAAUCAUUUUGAGUGAAGAAGGUUGGAAUACUAAGGGGAUGACUGUCCUGUCAUUAUUCCUUAGCCAUCUGUUUGAAGACAGAACAGUGCUCUGGAUGUACCUGAAUGUGCUCUGAAUCAAACCUUUUUCAUGUUCUUAAAUAGACGUUCUCAUUACAGUGUGUCACUUCAAAGAAGCCAUUUGCUACAAAACUCCACGUCCAUUUCCUCUGAAACACUAUUCAUUUUCCAAUUAUUUCCUUGUUUAAUGCAGAGCAGAUGAAACUUACUUAGCUGUUGAUCUCACAAGGGCGUUUAUCCCCAGGGAUGAACCUGCAGCACUGCAUGGCCCUCCCAGCAUCACUGUCCUCCUAACCACAGAAGAAGGACAGGGUCCAUCUCUUCCAUGUGGUCACCACUGCGUGGAGAAUGAACCCAUUUUCUGAGUGUGUAUACAUUCCCUAUAAAGGAGAUGCAUACACAGGUUCAGCUGUAAAACCCUGUAGCCUGUUGACCCAGUGGAUGUCAAAAAAAAGUGUUGGAUCUGGCAAACUGCCUUGGUUUGUGAGCCCAGUAAUGGUGGAGGGGAGGGACAUGGGGCUGGGGACCAGGAGAGCAUCUCCUUGGGGUGACAGCCUGGGCUCUGUACAGUGGGAUGGGACCCACCAUUGCCUCCUGGGCCACUCUCCCUGGAGUGCCAGCAGGGCAUGGUUUGCCCAGGAAACUGAGUGUGCAUCCAAAGAGAGGCAUUUCUAAGUUACAGCACAACGAUCCUUAGAACAUCAGUGAUGAGUGAGCCAACUGAAAACAAACUGUCCAGAGGGAAGGUGUGUAUUUCUGCAAUGGCUUUUCCACUGCUGCUCAGAUCUAUUUCUGUGCAGCCUCAGCAUUUCUGGUGUACUGAAUGAAGUGUUGUAAAGUCCAGGGAAGUGCUUGGGCUGCCUGGGAGUGAUUUUCGUGUUCCUGCAGCUGUGCCGUAUGGGUCUGCAGUGCUGGUGCCUGGGAUUUGUUCAUGGCAGGAGUGCUGGAGGGCAAAUAGAGCAGAAGAGCUACAGGGAAACAUAAUGCAGGAGCAGAGUGGGUUUUUUUCCUACAAAUAUCUUUCAAGAUAUAUAUAACUGUCAAGAUGUAUGAAAUAAUAUGUAUAUAACUGCACGUAUAAGUGGGCAUUCAGCAGCUCUGGCUGCUGUGAGCCUGCUUCCAUGCAUGGAGGAGGGGGCAGAAGGCUGGAGAGUUUCUGGGAGGACGUGUGAAGUGAGGAAGAAAUGGGGGAGCACCACCUGGAGGACAUCACUGGGUGACACUGUGACCACAAGGCCUUUCUGCUCGCUGCCUUCAGCAGUCACACACACGUGUUUUUCCGUGGGGUUUCACCACAAACACGCCUUUCCCGCUCGCUCUGCAAUGCAGCAUCCCUGACCUCAACUGUUGUUUCUUUCAAGUUAAGAACAACAACAAAAAGAACACUUUUGGGGGCUCAUUUUCUCAGAUGUGAAAGCUGCUUUUCAUCAGUGGUCCUGUUUCUUUCUUACAUACGCUCUGGAAGAAGUCUAUGAGAGUGGGGUGAUUUUUCCACCAGUUCUUGCAUUUGUGAAACCCGCUCAGAUCUCUGAAGCUCACUGCCCAAAAAACCCCCCACUGAUGAGAUGAGGCAUUAUCAGAUUGUGUUCAUAGUUUCCUUUGGUGAAGUGCACAAAUCUGCGUUUCAGAAGGAGGUGCAGAGCCCUGGGCUGCUGCUGCCUGUCCUCUCCUGUGAUUGCACACAGCUGAG
Long non-coding RNA from Lagopus muta (rock ptarmigan), 3476 nucleotides. RefSeq lists it as uncharacterized. The record is from RefSeq and is a predicted model, not a curated record. NCBI's taxonomy places the organism in Eukaryota, Metazoa, Chordata, Aves, Galliformes, Phasianidae. The transcript is spliced from 3 exons.